Molecule: ribosomal RNA, 404 nt
Filed under: Fusobacteriota bacterium
Lineage: Bacteria; Fusobacteriati; Fusobacteriota
Description: Fusobacteria bacterium partial 16S ribosomal RNA
Rfam family: Bacterial small subunit ribosomal RNA
Source: RNAcentral
UGGGGAAUAUUGCACAAUGGAGGGAACUCUGAUGCAGCGACGCCGCGUGAGUGAUGAAGGAAUUCGUUUCGUAAAACUCUGUUCUAUGGGAAGAAAAGGACUGUACCAUAGGAGAAAGCUCCGGCUAAAUACGUGCCAGCAGCCGCGGUAAUACGUAUGGAGCGAGCGUUGUCCGGAAUUAUUGGGCGUAAAGGGUGCGCAGGCGGCUUUACAAGUUGGAUGUGAAAUAUUGUGGCUCAACCACAAACGUGCAUCCAAAACUGCAAAGCUGGAGGUAAGGAGAGGUAAGUGGAAUUCCUGGUGUAGCGGUGGAAUGCGUAGAUAUCAGGAGGAAUACCGGUGGCGAAGGCGACUUACUGGACUUAAACUGACGCUCAGGCACGAAAGCGUGGGGAGCAAACAGG